ACGCUGGUGGUGAAGUGGAAUCACAAAUGAGCAGUAGACCUGCGGUCCUGCCAAGAGUCGAAGGUUCGAAUCCUUCCCGGCGUU
Molecule: non-coding RNA, 84 nt
Organism: Pluteus cervinus
Lineage: Eukaryota; Fungi; Basidiomycota; Agaricomycetes; Agaricales; Pluteaceae
Source: the annotation of a GenBank genome assembly